GGGAGGUAAACAAACAAUGUUAUAGUCAGCUGACUCUAUCUUAUCUUUGAAAUAAUGGUGUGCACUGCCCACCAGGUCACCAAUUACACAAAUGUGCAGCACCUGGGUGUCUGUAUUUGAGUAUCUAUUUAAUUUCAAGUAAAGAUUGCCCAGGUGUCGCGCAUCCCAGCUACUGUAGCCAAGAAUGAAUUUUACGGAGAUUCUAAGAACAAAUGGGAGCCAGUUGACAUGGUCACCAGAUGGUCGUUUUUGUGCUGUGCCCGUGAUAGGAAGACUAGAAAUCAGAGACUCUUCAACACUACAAAUUUUAGUUACCUACAACUGUACUGAUUUUGUCCAGGUAGUAGAAUGGGCUCCUGAUUCCUGUUAUGUGCUCACUGGAAAUUACAAGCGUUGUGUAGCUGAAAUAUGGUCAGUUGAAGACCCUGAUUGGAGAUGCAAAAUUGACGAAGGAUCAGCUGGUCUUUUAAAAAUAUGUUGGGCUCCAGACAGUCGGCAUGUCUUGACUACAGCUGAGUUCUAUGUAAGAAAAUCAUAAAAGUAUUUGAAUUAUGAUGACAAA
Non-coding RNA from Cherax quadricarinatus, 562 nucleotides. The record is from RefSeq and is a predicted model, not a curated record. NCBI's taxonomy places the organism in Eukaryota, Metazoa, Arthropoda, Malacostraca, Decapoda, Parastacidae.